Molecule: ribosomal RNA, 358 nt
Filed under: uncultured bacterium
Lineage: Bacteria
Description: bacterial SSU rRNA
Rfam family: Bacterial small subunit ribosomal RNA
Source: RNAcentral
GGACCCGCACAAGUAGUGGAGCAUGUGGUUUAAUUCGAAGAUACGCGCAGAACCUUACCAACACUUGACAUGUUCGUCGCGACUCUAAGAGAUUAGAGUUUUCGGUUCGGCCGGACGAAACACAGGUGCUGCAUGGCUGUCGUCAGCUCGUGUCGUGAGAUGUUGGGUUAAGUCCCGCAACGAGCGCAACCCUCACUUUUAGUUGCCAUCAUUAAGUUGGGCACUCUGAAAGAACUGCCAGUGAUAAGCUGGAGGAAGGUGGGGAUGACGUCAAGUCCUCAUGGCCCUUACGGGUUGGGCUACACACGUGCCUACAAUGGCAGUGACAAUGGGUUAAUCCCCCAAAAACUGUCUCAGU